RNAcentral lists this ribosomal RNA (447 nucleotides) under uncultured bacterium. RNAcentral's name for it is "bacterial SSU rRNA". It matches the Rfam family "Bacterial small subunit ribosomal RNA", at positions 330 to 793 of the family's 1533-position model. The record is from RNAcentral.
CCCAGACUCCUACGGGAGGCAGCAGUGGGGGAUAUUGCACAAUGGGGGGAACCCUGAUGCAGCGACGCCGCGUGGGUGAAGAAGUAUUUCGGUAUGUAAAGCCCUAUCGGCAGGGAAGAAAUUGGACGGUACCUGACUAAGAAGCCCUGGCUAACUACGUGCCAGCAGCCGCGGUAAUACGUAGGGGGCAAGCGUUAUCCGGAUUCACUGGGUGUAAAGGGAGCGUAGACGGCCAUGCAAGCCUGGAGUGAAAGCCCGGGGCCCAGCCCCGGGACUGCUCUGGGAACUGUGCGGCUGGAGUGCGGGAGGGGCAGGCGGAAUUCCUGGUGUAGCGGUGAAAUGCGUAGAUAUCAGGAGGAACACCGGCGGCGAAGGCGGCCUGCUGGACCGCGACUGACGUUGAGGCUCGAAAGCGUGGGGAGCAAACAGGAUUAGAUACCCUUGUAU